Sciurus carolinensis (gray squirrel) is the source of this 543-nucleotide long non-coding RNA. RefSeq lists it as uncharacterized. The transcript is spliced from 2 exons. The record is from RefSeq and is a predicted model, not a curated record. Lineage: Eukaryota; Metazoa; Chordata; Mammalia; Rodentia; Sciuridae.
CUUCACAGUAAUUUCUGGAAUUCCUUAGUCUCACUCCUGAAUUAGAUGCCUAGUUCUCUGGUUUGCUUUGUUGUUUUGGUGGAGUACAUCCUUCAGAACUUCCUGAGAAAAGGUACAUGAAAGAGGUUUGAGAAAACACACACUAAAAAUUGAAAAAGCAUGGAGAAGCGGGUGCUCCUAAGUACGUAGAGUCACUGUGGAGACCAUCUAAGUCAACAUCACACCCUGGCUGUCAAAUGUCACUGAGCCUUUCACCUGUCCACCCAUAACAGAAAUCUUAUGUGACUUUUUGCUGUGUCGCUUGAGGAACGUUCCUUAUGGGUCGCCUGACCCGGUGAAGAGGCUGUCGUGGAAAGUGAGGCCUGGGCUUCACAUUUCCCUGAAUCACCACCAGGCUCUUUUAUCACGAUUCAACAUCACUGAUGCUACCACUCGUCACUUGGUGUGUGACAGCAAUGAAAAACAACUGAUCGUGGAAAUCAGCAUGAUUUCAUAAUGACGUGUAAAGUCCUCUUUUAGUCUUGGGAAGUUCUGCUUCUGCAG